This 402-nucleotide ribosomal RNA is filed under the name bacterium. Its description in RNAcentral is "partial 16S ribosomal RNA". It matches the Rfam family "Bacterial small subunit ribosomal RNA", at positions 355 to 776 of the family's 1533-position model. The record is from RNAcentral.
UGGGGAAUUUUGCACAAUGGGGGAAACCCUGAUGCAGCGACGCCGCGUGAUUUAGAAGGCCUUCGGGUUGUAAAAAUCUUUUCUAUGGGAAGAAACUGACAGUACCAUAGGAAUAAGGACCGGCUAAUUACGUGCCAGCAGCCGCGGUAAUACGUAAGGUCCGAGCGUUGUCCGGAAUCAUUGGGCGUAAAGGGUACGUAGGCGGGUAAGCAAGUUAGAAGUGAAAUCCUAUAGCUCAACUAUAGUAAGCUUUUAAAACUGCUCAUCUUGAGGUAUGGAAGGGAAAGUGGAAUUCCUAGUGUAGCGGUGAAAUGCGCAGAUAUUAGGAGGAAUACCGGUGGCGAAGGCGACUUUCUGGCCAUAACCUGACGCUGAGGUACGAAAGCGUGGGUAGCAAACAGG